GCAUCUGUGAACUAAAGCAUGAGAAAUGAUCCCUGACCUCUGACCCUUGUCCUCGGGGAGCCUGGAGGCAUGUGAGGGAAGACCAGUAGGCUAGCAAAGACUGAGUUGAGUUUCAGCUGGUUAGACAGAGGCAUCUGCUCCGUCCCUCCAGAGGAGCUGAGGGCUAGUGAAGAUGGAUGGCAGGGGACAAGCAAUCAGUCUUCAUCAACUCCCACGCAGGCUGACAGGACACCCACUGCUGAGCUCUCUAUGCAGCAAGGUUGGCUCCCAACUUCUCUGUUGAAUCACUGACUAAACACCAACACCAUGAGAUAUUUGCAAAACUCUUUCCUCCAGGGUAAUCACUCCACUUCGAGUAAUAUGGCUCAUCACUGUGAUGGGCCAUACUGAUGAGCUUAGGGGAUUCUGGGAAUAGUCCUCAGAACCAUGGACACCACCAUCCUCAUCUCCUAGUUUUCCAUCAUUAACUCAGCACCUGAAAAAAGACAUCUUCCUCUGUGAGUCACCACUGCUACUCAGGAGACAAAAGUCUAAUUAUUCUAAAUAUUAAAGCUUCAGCAAGGACUUGUG
Molecule: non-coding RNA, 570 nt
Organism: Peromyscus maniculatus bairdii (prairie deer mouse)
Lineage: Eukaryota; Metazoa; Chordata; Mammalia; Rodentia; Cricetidae
Source: RefSeq, a predicted model, not a curated record